This 484-nucleotide ribosomal RNA is filed under the name uncultured bacterium. RNAcentral's name for it is "partial 16S ribosomal RNA". It matches the Rfam family "Bacterial small subunit ribosomal RNA", at positions 30 to 507 of the family's 1533-position model. The record is from RNAcentral.
AUUGAACGCUGGCGGCAGGCCUAACACAUGCAAGUCGAGCGGAUGAAGGGAGCUUGCUCCUGGAUUCCGCGGCGGACGGGUGAGUAAUGCCUAGGAAUCUGCCUGGUAGUGGGGGAUAACGUCCGGACACGGGCGCUAAUACCGCAUACGUCCUGAGGGAGAAAGUGGGGGAUCUUCGGACCUCACGCUCUCAGAUGAGCCUAGGUCGGAUUAGCUAGUUGGUGGGGUAAAGGCCUACCAAGGCGACGAUCCGUAACUGGUCUGAGAGGAUGAUCAGUCACACUGGAACUGAGACACGGUCCAGACUCCUACGGGAGGCAGCAGUAGGGAAUAUUGGACAAUGGGCGAAAGCCUGAUCCAGCCAUGCCGCGUGUGUGAAGAAGGUCUUCGGAUUGUAAAGCACUUUAAGUUGGGAGGAAGGGCAGUAAGUUAAUACCUUGCUGUUUUGACGGUACCAACAGAAUAAGCACCGGCUAACUUCGUG